Molecule: ribosomal RNA, 218 nt
Filed under: uncultured bacterium
Lineage: Bacteria
Description: partial 16S ribosomal RNA
Rfam family: Bacterial small subunit ribosomal RNA
Source: RNAcentral
ACGCUCGACACCUACGGGAGGCAGCAGUGAGGAAUAUUGGUCAAUGGACGCAAGUCUGAACCAGCCAUGCCGCGUGCAGGAUGACGGCUCUAUGAGUUGUAAACUGCUUUUGUACGAGGGUAAACGCAGAUACGUGUAUCUGUCUGAAAGUAUCGUACGAAUAAGGAUCGGCUAACUCCGUGCCCGCAGCCGCGGUAAUCUGAGCGGGCUGGCAAGGC